GUCCAUACAGACCUCCAGACCUCUAUGGUUAGCUGGUGGCAAGCUCCAGUCUCUGAACCCCCAGAGACAAGCUUUAUUUGUACAAGCAAGAUAUUACCACAUGCCCAGGAUCAUCUGGAAGAACCUGUGAAAGUGUCCGUGGCAGGAGUGGAAGCAGGGAAAGUGAUAAUUACUCAAAUGCCACAAACCUUACAAACCUUUGCAGGGGAGCUGAGGAGAAACAACUGACUGAAAAUCAGUAAAGGGUCCUAGGAAGCUUGGAGCAUCUGCCUGAGCCUCUCAGCCAGUCAUGUGAAGUCUUAAGUGUCUAUCUUCCAAGUCCCACAUACCUUCAUCUUUCAGAGGUACCACACUUGGGCACCACCUCCGCCAGCAUGUGAGUUUUGGGAGGAUUGGUCAUAUCCAAAUCAUACCAAAGGACUGCAGGAUUGGCAAGACUCCAGAGUCAUGGAAAAAUGGGAAGACCCAACUGGCAAGGAAAGAGAGGGCAUGGUGGUGAGACUCCAGCUACCUGGGAAGGGGUUCGGGACUGUGCUAGAGAAACACAGGCAUUUCCAGGCGGCGCAACCAAGUCCAACAAUCUCAGUGCCAUCCCAGGGAGUCUGCCAGCUGUGGAAUUAUUCUAGAAAAUAUCUUCAUGAUCUUUCCUCAGACCUUCUCAGUUUGGCAGCUAGCCAGUUGCCAAGGUUAGGCUCAGUGUAGCUGGAGUAGUUGGGAUUAGGGAUGAGUCUGAAGACAGGUUUAGCAGUGAGUCUGAAGCCAGUGUUAAGUUUAGUGUGAAGCCACGCUUGAGGUUCAUUCUGUCAUUGGGGUUCAGGUUUGUCAGCACACACUGGUUUCUUAUUAGAUCCCAUUUUUUUCUUACUUACAUGCACGAAGUAGAUCAAAGUUUAACCAGCUGGUCUUUUCUCUGCCGUUUUUCACCUGUCUUUCUUGGUCUCUUCCAGCUGGAUGUCCUCCUCUCUCUGAUCCCCCACCCACGCAUAUAUAGAAGUCUUUCUCUUCAUCUAGCUCCUCACUCCAUUCUCAUAUUUUGAUGGGGAUUGGAGGGAGGCCUCACUAUUACCCCGGGCUAGCCUUCAAUUCGCCAUCCUGCCUCUGCCUCCUGGAUGGUCUCACCCUAUUCUUAUUAGCCGAACCCUCAGGCAAUGGGGAUCUGUCUUGGGCUAUGAGGAAGGGGUCAUAUCAUGAGAGGAGGCAGUAGUGAGGCUGCCAUCAGUUGCAAGAGGCAGCAGGGAUCCCUGUCCCCUUGGCCAUCCCCACAACCAGUGGCCAGUGCUUUCUCCUUUAUCCAUGCCAGGACUGUAGCCUUACUCAGCACCCUGGAAUCCUGGCCCACACAAUACCUGGGCACUUUCGAGGCAGGUAAGUGAAACUUUAAUCCCAGUGUUCCUUUGGUUCCUGAUCCCCCCAGCCACCAUGGUCUCAGCUGGGCCACUCCCUUGCCAUGUCCCCAGCAAGCCACUAAAGGACUUAGCCCAACUCAGACAGCUAGGUGUUGGGUGGAGGGAGUAUGACAGGAGGGACCACAGAGCCAAUAAUGUAUCCUUAUCACUGCCACUUUCCUGGGUGCACACCUUCCUGGCAGUAGGUCUUGGGCUGCCUUCCAGUUUGGCUGUCCUCCUCCUAGCCUUCAUUCAUGCCUUGACACGCAGGAGUUUCAGGAGUUCUCCACAGAUGCAGAGCCCAGCCUGGUUCUAAGGCAACCCAGGGAGGGAGGAACCACAUUCCCUCCUUCAGUUGGCUUCCCUCUUCUCCCUCUCCCUUCCCUCUUCCUUCUCUUCCCCUCCCCUCUCCUCCUCUCCCUCUCCCUUCCCUCUCCUCCCUUCUUUUCCCCUCCCCUCUCCUCCUCUCCCUCUCCCUUCCCUUCCCCCUCUUUUCUCCUUCUGUCUUCCUCUUUAUCCUCAUCUUUCUUUCUCAUCCUCUCUUCCUCCUACAUCCCCCAUCUCCCUCCCUUCUUCCUCAUCUUCUUCCUCCUUCUAGCUUCUUGCCCUUUGUCUCCCCUUAUCUCCUCUUCCUCUUGUAUCUUCUUUCUUAUCUUCCUCUCCCACCUGCUCCUCCUCUCUUGCUCAUCUUCCUCUCACUUUCCCCUUCCUCUCCCUCCUCGCCUUCCCUCACCUCUCUCUCUCUCUCUCUCUCUCUCUCUCUCUCUCUCUCUCUCUCUCUCCCCUUUGGUUUGACCACCCUCCCUGUCUAUUCGGCCUCCCAUCCUCAUCUUCCCUCUACCCAUUUACCAUCAUAUGGUACCAUCUCCAUCUUCAGGUUCACUGCUUCUGUAUCUUCCAUUGCUUGCUCGCAGACCAUCCCCCACCAUCAUCCCAGAGCAGAUUUCCUUCUGAACUCUUUCACAACAGAGACCCGCCACAGAUAUCCACCGAUGAUGAUGACAAUUUGAGAGAAUGGCCCUUCCUUGGUGUCUCUCACCCAAUUAUCUCCCUGUAGGAAAUCUCAUCACUGAAUCACUCCUUGGAGCUCCAGCAACUUAAAAACCACUGCACAUUCUAUGUGCUCUAACUAAGCAGGGACCCACAGAAUGUUAGGUGCUGGGAAUGUAUGAGUAAGACACAUACCUGUCCUCUGAGAGUUCACAGUAGGGGGGAGGUGGGCCCAGAACCCAGAGCUGAAAAGACUGAGUACCAGUUUACUGUAACAGAUCAAGGUAAGUAAUACCAGAGAAUGACUGAGGGUGCAGCCCCCACUCAGCUGUCCGAGACAAAGUCACAAAACUCACCGUGUAGCCGAGAAUGACUUUGAACUUCUGAUCCGACAUUUCCUAAGUGCUAGAAUUACAGGUGAGGUGUGUACCUCCAUACCUGUGUUGUGCUGCACUGGGGAGGCAACCCAGAACUCUGUGGGAGGCAAGCGCUCUACCAGCUCAGCUCCAGCCCUGGUCUGCUCUCUUGAAGAUGAGGAGUUUGUGAUAGAAGAAGCAACUGGUAAGGACUUCUGGGCUCUCUAGAUGAACUGUGUGAUGGUGAGGAAUAGGGUGUCCAUCUCAGGAAAGACAGCUUCAAAGAGGGGACUCCAGAGCCCCAAGCAAUCAGCUUAUGGAGGCCUAAGUGAUGACACUUAAACACAAAGGAGGAAAAGGUGAGAGACUGCUCAGGCCCAGAUAGUAGACUUGGACUUGAACUCUUGGCAGUUAGAGAGCCAUAGCAAUUUCUCCCGCAUGGAAUGAUUGGGCUGCAAAGUGAUUUACCAAAAAGUAAGUCACUACAGUGUACUGCCAGCUUCACUCUCUGAGGACUCUGUAGACGGGCAUUGUCUACACCACAGAUUCCAGCCCCAUUGAAGACCUAAUGCAUCUGAGUACCAUGGAUGCUUGUAGGGUGAGGUUCUUGUGUACAUGCCCAGGGAACCAGGGAAAACAGGACUCGAGGUAGUCACAUAACCUUGUGCUCAAUCCUCCAGUAGCUCCUCGUGCCUUGUGACAUAUUGGAAUCUUCUCCAUGGUCUGUGCCCUGAGUGGUUGCAUCUUGUGUCCCUUAUCAUCUGUUCUCCAGGGGAGGGGACAGUUCUUGGAAGCUUCCAUCCUUGGAGCUUGAACAGGGGCUUCCCUGGGGAGGCCUUCCAGGCUUGGGACAGGGAGGCUUGGUCUUGUCUCUGGGUCACAAUCGGAAGCCUUGACUGCUGGGCAGGCACCCGAGGGUGGGGCACUUGGCAAAUUGGAGCCUAUAAAGCACUUAGCAGCAUGAAGGAUGACAGGGAUAAGGAAUGUAGCACUAAUCCCAUCUCUUGAGUCAGAGGAGGAGCUGGGGAGGGGACAGUCCCUAGGCACUCUAGGACCAACCAGUCCAUCACCUGCACAGGACCCAUCUCAUCUCCAAAAGAUCUGCCUUGUCUGAGCCUGUACCCCAGGGGUUCUAGAGUUCCCCCCUUUCAAGGUAACUCCACUAGGGGGUGACUGGCUUCUUCUACUUUUCUGGACAUAUGGAGACAGCAGCAGGAAUGAGGAGACCUCUGCCUUCAGAAGCAUCUGGAAGGUCUGCAGUCAGUUCUUGGAGAUGUAGCUCGGCGGUAAAGCCUCUGCUUAGCAGGCACCAGACUCUGGGUUUAGUCACUAGCUCUGCAGAUGGAAAUGUUAUUUCUUCUUCCAUCUGGACACGCAUGGUGAUGAGCAACCAAGGGACAGCCUCAAAGCAGCUUGGGCUCAUCAGAUCACAGAGUCACCAUGCAGUGUGAGUCUAGUGCCGUGGAUCUGGGAAUCGGACCUUCCAUGCUUCCUUUAUCUACGGUGGCAGUUUGUGCUGCCCCUCAGGCUGGCAAGUGAUAAAAUGACCAGCUAUGAGCAAACUUUCCCUAGCCCUCAGGUCCCACUGGACAGUAAUAAUGAGGCCAGGAGAGGAAGUGGCAGUCAUAAGCCUCCCUACACUGGCUCUCAGGGGUCUUCACUAACAUUUUUGAUGUCAGUGGUGACCUGGAGCUUCAGAGUUAGGCAGCAGCUGGUAGAAGUAGAGUUUGUCCCUUCCAUGACCCCUAUAGUCACAGCAGUCAAUUGUGGAGGUGAAAAACCUGCUUUUUAUUAUCCAAUCCCAAGCUCUAACUCUAUUUUAUAGAUUCAUUCUUGCCUAAGAUUUACCAGGUAAAUUGAGGGAAAAUAUUCCGUGGUUUCUUUGGUGCUUGGCUGAGAGCCACCUACCACUUCUGAGAGUUUGGGGAAUCUCAGUGGAGAACACACUCCCAGCAGGAGCAACCACAGUCCUCUGGGUCAGUAGCACCUGCUGCCUACCUGGGUGUGGCCCUGCUGACCCUCUGCAGCUGUGACCCAGGUGCCAGUGAAAGCUGCUUCACUGCUCGUGCCUCCUUUAUGUCAGCUAAAGUGUUGUGCUGAUUUUUCUACUAUGUUACACUUGAAUUAGGUUGCAGGAUAAGCAAAGAUGAUGACUCUAAAUGUUAGCAAAAGAGGUUGGAUCUGAGAGGGUCAGCAGCCCGGGCCUACUCUGAGAUCUAUAGCCAGAAGCCAGGAGAAGGGAGGCUCCACCAUCAUUGAGAAGUGGGCCAGAGGAAAAGGGCCAGCAGUGCCCACUGUCAUACGUCCUCAGAGCAUGCCUAGCAAGUGGUAGAAUUAGUUCCAUGGACAUCUCCUCUGAGUGCCUGGGACAAUGAUAUUCGGGACAAAAUUGGGAGUACCCAGCAACAAGAAACUGUAGGUCCAGUGCAAUGCCCUGGUGUCCACACACUUCCGCUGUGCCUACCACCCCCGGGAAUCUGUGUCUUGUAGGCUGCCCUCAGGUCCACAGUUAUCACACAGAUUCUACCACAUUCUGGGAGCAUCCUAUCACUGCUGCUGUUCUCACCCAUCCUCUUAGGAAGCCAGAAAAGCCUGUAGAGUACCUCUUGCAGAGCAAGCUGCCUUGCUGAAGGCCCUGG
Molecule: long non-coding RNA, 5370 nt
Filed under: Cricetulus griseus (Chinese hamster)
Lineage: Eukaryota; Metazoa; Chordata; Mammalia; Rodentia; Cricetidae
Description: lncRNA (ENSCGRG00015042578.1)
Source: RNAcentral